This 251-nucleotide ribosomal RNA is filed under the name uncultured bacterium. RNAcentral describes it as "partial 16S ribosomal RNA". It matches the Rfam family "Bacterial small subunit ribosomal RNA", at positions 525 to 775 of the family's 1533-position model. The record is from RNAcentral.
ACGGAAGGUUCGGGCGUUAUCCGGAUUUAUUGGGUUUAAAGGGAGCGUAGGCCGUUUGGUAAGCGUGUUGUGAAAUGUAGUAGCUCAACUUCUAGAUUGCAGCGCGAACUGUCAGACUUGAGUGCGCACAACGUAGGCGGAAUUCAUGGUGUAGCGGUGAAAUGCUUAGAUAUCAUGAAGAACUCCGAUUGCGAAGGCAGCUUACGGGAGCGCAACUGACGCUGAAGCUCGAAGGUGCGGGUAUCGAACAG